GCGGGAUUAGUUUAGUGGUAAAACGACAGUUUUCCAAACUGUGGUCAGGCGUUCGAUUCGCCUAUCCCGCACCA
Molecule: transfer RNA, 74 nt
Filed under: Candidatus Nomurabacteria bacterium RIFCSPLOWO2_12_FULL_46_14
Lineage: Bacteria; Candidatus Nomuraibacteriota
Description: tRNA-Gly
Rfam family: tRNA
About the family: Transfer RNA (tRNA) molecules are approximately 80 nucleotides in length. Their secondary structure includes four short double-helical elements and three loops (D, anti-codon, and T loops).
Source: RNAcentral